AGAACAAACGCUGGCGGCGUGCCUAAUACAUGCAAGUCGAACGAGUAGCAAUACUAGUGGCGCACGGGUGAGUAACGCGUGGAUAAUCUGCCCUUCAGUGGGGAAUAACUCUCCGAAAGGAGAGCUAAUACCGCAUAAGACCACAGUGACUGAGGUCACAGAGGUUAAAGGAGUAAUUCGCUGAAGGAUGAGUCCGCGUCAGAUUAGUGGUAGUUGGUGGGUAAUGGCCUACCAAGCCUUCGAUCUGUAGCUGGUCUGAGAGGAUGAUCAGCCACGACGUGGAACCUGGAACGACGACGGUCCAGACCUCCGUACGGGAGCGAGCAAGGUAGGGAAUUAGUUGGACAAGUCGGGACGAAAGCCGUAGAACUC
This 372-nucleotide ribosomal RNA is filed under the name uncultured soil bacterium. Its description in RNAcentral is "bacterial SSU rRNA". It matches the Rfam family "Bacterial small subunit ribosomal RNA", at positions 26 to 392 of the family's 1533-position model. The record is from RNAcentral.